Molecule: ribosomal RNA, 437 nt
Filed under: uncultured bacterium
Lineage: Bacteria
Description: bacterial SSU rRNA
Rfam family: Bacterial small subunit ribosomal RNA
Source: RNAcentral
GAUGAACGCUGGCGGCGUGCUUAACACAUGCAAGUCGAACGAAGCACUUUAUUUGAUUUCCUUCGGGACUGAUUAUUUUGUGACUGAGUGGCGGACGGGUGAGUAACGCGUGGGUAACCUGCCUUGUACAGGGGGAUAACAGUUGGAAACGGCUGCUAAUACCGCAUAAGCGCACAGCAUCGCAUGAUGCAGUGUGAAAAACUCCGGUGGUAUAAGAUGGACCCGCGUUGGAUUAGCUAGUUGGUGAGGUAACGGCCCACCAAGGCGACGAUCCAUAGCCGACCUGAGAGGGUGACCGGCCACAUUGGGACUGAGACACGGCCCAAACUCCUACGGGAGGCAGCAGUGGGGAAUAUUGCACAAUGGGCGAAAGCCUGAUGCAGCGACGCCGCGUGAGCGAAGAAGUAUUUCGGUAUGUAAAGCUCUAUCAGCAGGGA